UACCAGCACCCCGAGUGGUCGGGACGAUUAUUGGGCCUAAAGCAUCCGUAGCCGGUCAUGCAAGUCUUCCGUUAAAUCCACCCGCUCAACGGUUGGGCUGCGGAGGAUACUACGUGGCUAGGAGGCGGGAGAGGCAAGCGGUACUCAGUGGGUAGGGGUAAAAUCCUUUGAUCCAUUGAAGACCACCAGUGGCGAAGGCGAGUCCCUGGACAAUACCUGACACUGAGGCACGAAAGCCAUGGGAGCAAACAGG
This 253-nucleotide ribosomal RNA is filed under the name uncultured prokaryote. RNAcentral describes it as "partial 16S ribosomal RNA". It matches the Rfam family "Archaeal small subunit ribosomal RNA", at positions 474 to 727 of the family's 1478-position model. The record is from RNAcentral.